Molecule: non-coding RNA, 668 nt
Organism: Schizosaccharomyces pombe (fission yeast)
Lineage: Eukaryota; Fungi; Ascomycota; Schizosaccharomycetes; Schizosaccharomycetales; Schizosaccharomycetaceae
Source: the annotation of a GenBank genome assembly
AUCCAUUAUGGUUUUGAAAGCGCCUUUGUCUAUAACCGCCAUAACCCAGUCCAUCUGUAUAGGGCUCGCUUCCGUAUUCCUAUAUUAUGCAAUGUAAGGUUGAUUUUCUAUUUUGGUAAAACAGAGAUGAAUAUGGCAUGUUUUUACUAGUGAGAUUAUUGUGCUGUACCCGACGAUUGACAACAGUGGGACUUGUUUGCUCUAGUUAUUUAGAAGCAAAAAUUUUUUUCCUCAUAUCUCUCUCUCUUUCUGGGGUAGUCCUUUUUGGAAGAGUGCAACGUGACAUAGUCUAUGGGAUUGUAGGCAACAAAAAUGUAUAGGAAGAGUUAUUGUUGCUACAUAAUGGAAAUUACUUAGUGAGUACCAUAUCUUGUCGGUGAAAAUGGAUAUUUACUUUGCCGAUCAUUGCGUAGCUCGGUUUUUGCCAAGGAAAGAAACAAGUAAACCAGUUUGGUAAAGAAAAAGGAUGAUAAAAAAGGUUAGAGAUUUUAAGCGUAUCUAAAUAAAGGUAAGAUACUUUAAAAGUACGUUAAAAUCUGUGUCUUGUAAAAUUUCCAUUUGUAGAAUUGUUGCAUAAGGAUGGAGUACCACUGCUUUAGUAUAGUUAUACGUAACCAUGAGUUGGUUGUCUGUAGGACAUAGCGAGAAGAUUGAAAUUGCUAUACGUA